CCUGGAUUUUUAAUACAGUGACGGAAGGCUACUGGAUACAAUCAAGUACUUGCGAAGUCUGUGUGGAUAACGAUGGGAUUGACCCCUCUAAAUUAUUGGAGUUGAUGUAUCGCUAUAUUUCAAUUUAGUAAAGCCUUGGCCAGGAUAAUCCAUGAGAUGGAUUUGAAAAAUUGAAAUACAAUGUGGAUGAAGUAAUCUCGGUUGACAGUUAACUUGAGACCAUCCUAGAGCAUUCAGGAUCAAAAGGAUGAAUUAUGCGGUAACCAUGAAUAUGGGUUCUAAAAUAUUCCUUUGCGAUAAUUCGACCUAUUUGGACGUCGGAAACUAUUACUAAAUGAUAUCUCGAUUAGUGCAAGAAUUGAUUCCUGUGCUACCGGCUUAAUGUUUGAACCUAUGGAGUCACGCACACAAGUCAGACAAAGUAAAAAAGAAUUGACCUAUGUUUAUAUGUCCAAUCUGGAAAUACUCGACUUGAUUGAACAUAUAAGCUAACUUGAUUGAGAAUUGAGUUAUGGAUCAAACGGGAUUGAAGAGUUGACUAUGUCUAGUUAACACUACACAUGAGGUUCAAGUUCUAUCCCAAAGAUGAACAAUUUCUAUCUAUGAUCCAUGGAACAUAUGAAAGAUUG
Molecule: long non-coding RNA, 629 nt
Filed under: Elaeis guineensis (African oil palm)
Lineage: Eukaryota; Viridiplantae; Streptophyta; Magnoliopsida; Arecales; Arecaceae
Description: long non-coding RNA (EGUI_LNC072917)
Source: RNAcentral